This 496-nucleotide ribosomal RNA is filed under the name uncultured bacterium. RNAcentral's name for it is "partial 16S ribosomal RNA". It matches the Rfam family "Bacterial small subunit ribosomal RNA", at positions 28 to 506 of the family's 1533-position model. The record is from RNAcentral.
GAUGAACGCUGGCGGCGUGCCUAAUACAUGCAAGUCGAGCGAACAGACGAGGAGCUUGCUCCUCUGACGUUAGCGGCGGACGGGUGAGUAACACGUGGAUAACCUACCUAUAAGACUGGGAUAACUUCGGGAAACCGGAGCUAAUACCGGAUAAUAUAUUGAACCGCAUGGUUCAAUAGUGAAAGACGGUUUUGCUGUCACUUAUAGAUGGAUCCGCGCCGCAUUAGCUAGUUGGUAAGGUAACGGCUUACCAAGGCAACGAUGCGUAGCCGACCUGAGAGGGUGAUCGGCCACACUGGAACUGAGACACGGUCCAGACUCCUACGGGAGGCAGCAGUAGGGAAUCUUCCGCAAUGGGCGAAAGCUUGACGGAGCAACGCCGCGUGAGUGAUGAAGGUCUUCGGAUCGUAAAACUCUGUUAUUAGGGAAGAACAAAUGUGUAAGUAACUAUGCAAGUCUUGACGGUACCUAAUCAGAAAGCCACGGCUAACUACGU